RNAcentral lists this ribosomal RNA (250 nucleotides) under uncultured bacterium. RNAcentral's name for it is "partial 16S ribosomal RNA". It matches the Rfam family "Bacterial small subunit ribosomal RNA", at positions 524 to 773 of the family's 1533-position model. The record is from RNAcentral.
UACGAAGGGUGCAAGCGUUGUUCGGAUUUAUUGGGCGUAAAGCGCGCGCAGGCGGAAGAGCAAGUCAGAUGUGAAAUCUCGGGGCUUAACCCCGAACGUGCGUCUGAAACUACUUUUCUAGAGUAGCGGAGGGGAGAGGGGAAUUUCACAUGUAGGGGUAAAAUCCGUAGAGAUGUGAAGGAACACCAGAGGCGAAAGCGCCUCUCUGGCCGCUAACUGACGCUGAGGCGCGAAAGCGUGGGGAUCAAAC